Long non-coding RNA from Thalassophryne amazonica, 141 nucleotides. RefSeq lists it as uncharacterized. The record is from RefSeq and is a predicted model, not a curated record. The transcript has 4 exons. Lineage: Eukaryota; Metazoa; Chordata; Actinopteri; Batrachoidiformes; Batrachoididae.
UCUGAACAUACACAGCAAAGGUGCUGAUGAUCCAUGACUGUGUUUUUGAGUUAAUGUAUGGAAAAUGAAAAUCAAGAUGGCCGUCAGCAGCCAUCUUGGUGGUGGAGUGAAGCAUAUCAGCUCAUUCUUAUUCAGAGAAUC